UUUGAUCGACCCCAGCCACAGCGGCUGCUCGGCGGGACGAUCCUGCCCGUAGGUGGCGAUAAGUGCCUGCGCUUC
Molecule: non-coding RNA, 75 nt
Organism: Nocardia donostiensis
Lineage: Bacteria; Bacillati; Actinomycetota; Actinomycetes; Mycobacteriales; Nocardiaceae
Source: Rfam